CGAGGGGCAUCGGGGCGAGGAGCAAUCCUUGCCGCCGGCGACCGGCGCACGGGUGAGUAACGCGUAUGCGACCUGCCCGUUGCAGGGGGAUAAUCGGGAGAAAUCCCGUCUAAUACCGCGUAACGCCGCGGGGCUGCAUGGCCCUGCGGCCAAAGGGAGCGAUUCCGGCAACGGAUGGGCAUGCGUGACAUUAGCUAGUUGGCGGGGCAACGGCCCACCAAGGCGACGAUGUCUAGGGGUUCUGAGAGGAAGGUCCCCCACACUGGUACUGAGACACGGACCAGACUCCUACGGGAGGCAGCAGUGAGGAAUAUUGGUCAAUGGGCGCGAGCCUGAACCAGCCAAGUCGCGUGAGGGAUGACGGCCCUACGGGUUGUAAACCUCUUUUGUCGGGGAGCAAAUUCCGUUACGUGUAACGGAGUCGAGAGUACCCGAAGAAAAAGCAUCGGCUAACUCCGUGCCAGCAGCCGCGGUAAUACGGAGGAUGCGAGCGUUAUCCGGAUUUAUUGGGUUUAAAGGGUGCGUAGGCGGACUGUCAAGUCAGCGGUAAAAUACGGGGGCUCAACCUCCGCCCGCCGUUGAAACUGACGGUCUUGAGUGGGCGAGAAGUAUGCGGAAUGCGUGGUGUAGCGGUGAAAUGCAUAGAUAUCACGCAGAACUCCGAUUGCGAAGGCAGCAUACCGGCGCCCAACUGACGCUGAAGCACGAAAGCGUGGGUAUCGAACAGGAUUAGAUACCCUGGUAGUCCACGCAGUAAACGAUGAAUACUAGCUGUCCGGGGCG
Molecule: ribosomal RNA, 783 nt
Filed under: uncultured bacterium
Lineage: Bacteria
Description: bacterial SSU rRNA
Rfam family: Bacterial small subunit ribosomal RNA
Source: RNAcentral